This 782-nucleotide long non-coding RNA is filed under the name Homo sapiens (human). RNAcentral's name for it is "HSALNT0295776". Lineage: Eukaryota; Metazoa; Chordata; Mammalia; Primates; Hominidae. The record is from RNAcentral.
CCACACCCAGCCUAUUAUUUCUAAUACAGUUUUUUUUUUGUUUUUUUUUUUACUAUUCUUACUUCUACAAGUUAUUUACAAGAUGAAUCAAAAGAUAGAUGAUAGAUAAAUAGACAGAUACAGAUAGAUAAUUAAAAGCGUCCAUUGGACCUAAAUGGUAAAAGGUGAUUAUUUUUCCUGGUAUUCUGAGGGUUAAGGCCUCACAUGAUUCCUGUAACUCUACAAGUUACUUAUUAGUUGAGUAAACCUGAAAGAGAUUAAGAAUUCGGUGGCCUUUGUGAGGCACUGCCCCACCCUGCCCACCAGGCUCUGCCGCUCCAUGGCAACUCCAGCCAGCUCCUCCCUCCCCCUGCCACCAGCUGGUGAAGUCACCAGAACUGCCACCCUCGGGCAUUGUGGGGCAAUGAAGGUGGGUGGAGGGAAUGAGGCACCACAACAGUAUUUCCCUCUAGCAGCUCCUGGGACUGGGUUUUCUGGCAUUUCUAUCUCCCCCAAAUAUCUGUAACAGGCGGUGUUCAUAUCUCUAAAUCAGAGUUCUGGCUGCUGAGGUAGCAGGACUGAGACCGGGGCUGGACCCUGACUGAGACCCAGGAGCCAGCAGCCUCUAGCCACUCCAGUCACAGGCACAGCCCAGGGACCCACCGCCACGCCCUCCUGCAAGAUAAAGGAAGCAGCAACUCAGACAUCAGGGUGGACACACCCACCAAAACACAAGGAGAGGCCCUGAAAAGUAACUGGAAAGUCACAGACCGUUCUGGCAAGUGGAGUUGAUGAGAAACAGG